This 279-nucleotide ribosomal RNA is filed under the name uncultured bacterium. RNAcentral's name for it is "partial 16S ribosomal RNA". It matches the Rfam family "Bacterial small subunit ribosomal RNA", at positions 506 to 784 of the family's 1533-position model. The record is from RNAcentral.
UGCCAGCCGCCGCGGUAAUACGGAGGGGGUUAGCGUUGUUCGGAAUUACUGGGCGUAAAGCGUACGUAGGCGGAUUAGUCAGUCAGAGGUGAAAUCCCAGGGCUCAACCCUGGAACUGCCUUUGAUACUGCUAGUCUUGAGUUCGAGAGAGGUGAGUGGAAUUCCAAGUGUAGAGGUGAAAUUCGUAGAUAUUAGAAAGAACACCAAAUGCGAAGGCAACUUACUGGGCCAAUACUGACGCUGAGGUUCGAAAGCGUGGGGAGCGAACGGGAUUAGAUA